Molecule: ribosomal RNA, 116 nt
Filed under: Pantoea sp. SORGH_AS_0659
Lineage: Bacteria; Pseudomonadati; Pseudomonadota; Gammaproteobacteria; Enterobacterales; Erwiniaceae
Source: RNAcentral
CCUGGCGGCUUUAGCGAGGUGGUCCCACCUGACCCCAUGCCGAACUCAGAAGUGAAACGCCGUAGCGCCGAUGGUAGUGUGGGGUCUCCCCAUGCGAGAGUAGGGAACUGCCAGGC